RNAcentral lists this ribosomal RNA (466 nucleotides) under uncultured bacterium. Its description in RNAcentral is "bacterial SSU rRNA". It matches the Rfam family "Bacterial small subunit ribosomal RNA", at positions 29 to 506 of the family's 1533-position model. The record is from RNAcentral.
ACGAACGCUGGCGGCGUGCCUAACACAUGCAAGUCGAACGAAGUGUAUGGGGCUUGCUCUGUACACUUAGUGGCAAACGGGUGCGUAACACGUGAGGAACAUUCCCCCCGGCGGGGGAUAGCCGGCCCAACGGCCGGGUAAUACCGCGUACGACCUUCGGGGCUCCUGCCCUGGAGGUGAAAGCAGCAAUGCGCCGGGAGAGUGCCUCGCGCCGUAUCAGCUAGUUGGUGAGGUAACGGCUCACCAAGGCUACGACGCGUAGCUGGUCUGAGAGGAUGGCCAGCCACAUUGGGACUGAGACACGGCCCAGACUCCUACGGGAGGCAGCAGUGGGGAAUAUUGCGCAAUGGGCGAAAGCCUGACGCAGCGACGCCGCGUGUGGGAUGAAGGUCUUCGGAUCGUAAACCACUGUCGGGAGGGACGAAGUUCUGACGGUACCUCCAAAGGAAGCACCGGCUAACUCUGU